Molecule: non-coding RNA, 71 nt
Organism: Gymnothorax javanicus (giant moray)
Lineage: Eukaryota; Metazoa; Chordata; Actinopteri; Anguilliformes; Muraenidae
Source: the annotation of a GenBank genome assembly
GGCAGGGUAGCCUAGUGGCAGGGCGCUUAAUUGGUAACUGAAGAGUUAUGGUUCAAGUCCCUGGUGGGGCU